Molecule: ribosomal RNA, 292 nt
Filed under: uncultured bacterium
Lineage: Bacteria
Description: partial 16S ribosomal RNA
Source: RNAcentral
GGACUACAGGGGUAUCUAAUCCUGUUUGCUCCCCUAGCUUUCGCAGAUCAGCGUCAGUGAUGGUCCAGUAGCCUGCUUUCGCCAUAGGUAUUCCUCCCGAUAUCUACGCAUUUCACCGCUACACCGGGAAUUCUAGCUACCUCUACCACACUCCAGCCUGGUAGUUUCCGUUGACCUCUCCCAGUUAAGCCGGGAGCUUUCACAACAGACUUUCCAAACCGCCUACCUGCGCUUUACGCCUAGUGAUUCCGAGUAACGCUUGCCACCUACGUAUUACCGCGGCUGCUGGCAC